Long non-coding RNA from Zea mays, 2358 nucleotides. RefSeq lists it as uncharacterized. The transcript has 3 exons. Lineage: Eukaryota; Viridiplantae; Streptophyta; Magnoliopsida; Poales; Poaceae. The record is from RefSeq and is a predicted model, not a curated record.
CUCUGCAGGUGAUAUCAUAUUUCACAAAAAUACAGAUUUUUUCUGAUAUUGGGCCCCUAACUAAUACAUCCACUUUGGAAAACAACUCUUUCUCUCACCAUGCAAUUUCUCUAUCCUGAAAUAUAAGAUAUGCUGGGAAUUCCAGCACAAAAUAUGGGGUAAAAGAAAUGACACAUGCAUCCUCCUUAAUCAUAGGGAGAUAUUGUGUUACCUAUUUUUGGCUUUGUGAUUGGGUUGACUGGAGGCAUUAGUGGCAGGUGCGCAUGUGAUUGAGGCCUAGGGGCAUUGAUAGGUGAGGAGGGGGAGUUAAUAAACCUACAAUCCUUUAUAAUUUGUGACAAGUUGGAAUGCUUCAGUUAUUUCAGGAUGAAGGAGUACCAUUGAAAAGGGAGGAGUUUCUUGUCGUGUAUAAAUAUGUUAGUUUGUUUUGUGCGCAGCAAAAUAUGUUACUUUUAAAAAUUGUGCAAGUUUAUUUCGACCAUGGUGUUGAAACAUGUAAUUCAACUAAUGUUGUUGGCUGAAUAGUUUCAUAAGUAAAGCAAAAAAAACAAUAGUCAUGUACUAAUUUCAGGACAAGAAUGAUUGUAGGAGUAGGAUCUAGGCAUAUUUUUCGUGGUUUGGUGGUGAUCAUCCAAUGAAAAGGCGAUGCUUGUUGUGUAAGGUCUUCUACACUGGUUCUUGCUCGUGGUGGUCGUCGCUGGCGCCUUCCUCACCUUUUCUGUGGAUUUUUGUAGGUCUUAACAAUCGGGCGACGCCUGCCCAUCCAUCCUCUCCCCAGUGUAGUCCCAACAGUAAAAGGGGACAACACCAUCCCUUCUGUGUAUGGACCGUAGCCCCGUAGCAUUGUAUGUUUGAUUAAAAUGUAGCCCCCAAAAUAGUGUUACUUGGAUAAAUUUUCUAGCUUUAGUAUUCAAAAGGGUGUCGAUUGCCAAGUAUUCAACUCUAUUUUUUCUGUUAUCAAUUAUGUUCUCACUGUACUGUACAUAUUCAAGAAGUUGCUGGUUUUAAUAAUGUAAUAUCCAGAAUUUAGAUUUUCAAAAAAUCCCAUAGAAAUCAUACCAGUGAUAUAGCCAAAGCUCAUACUGACUGACCAUUCUUUAUCCGCACAUGCCCACUCUAGCUUGCAGUGAAAGAGUUACAGAAGAUUAAUUCUUUCAAAGCACCACGGGAGAUGCUUCUGUGCAUCAUGAGCUACUGUCAGAUCAUAAAUAACUUGCUUCUGAACAUUCUUAAUAGAGAGAUGGAUGGAAUCACAUGCAUAUAAGAGAAACAUUCUUCUUAUUCUUGAUUUAGUUGGUACUUGUACAUCAAUUGGAGAUGGAAUCCUUAUGCCUGUUGUAUCUGUUACUCAUCGUCACUUUUUUUAUGAUGCUAACCAUUACAUUGUUUUUUUACUAAAUCUGAUGGUUUUAGGAUGCCACUUAUGGACUAUGGUUUUGUGGUUUCUGUAGUUCUAUAUGCAUCAGGUAGCACUAGGGUCCAGAUUCAGAAUAUGAGUACUGGUAUGUAUUUUCCAUUUUAUAUUUUUUCAGUAUUGCCACUAUAUCUGCAACCUACUCAAUCAUAAAUCAAGAUCUUGCACUUGGUUGCUUCCCCAGCGUGAAGAUGGUCAACAUUAGACUGCAAUCUAAAUUGUUUACUGUGAACUAGAACUUCUGCAUACACAUAUGUGGAUUUGUACAUGUACAAAAUCCGCAAUGCCUCAGAUUUUAUGCGCCCUCGGCAACUGGCGGAAUCCAAGGUGGCCUGAUAGAAAAGGGGCUUCCCUCGCUCAUCUUGUAGGCUACAGCUACAAAUCAGAUAAUAAAACUCUAUUAGAAAAUGCUAGAUGCUGAAGGUAGGGAGAAAGAGAAUCUUGAAGAAGAAAUAGGUGUUUUGAGAAGUCAGUUAUUGCAUAUGAGUAUGGAAGUCGAUGAGACAAGAAGUCUUGAUAAAGGAGAUGGGCCCAAAAAAAUUUCCUGGUUUAGAUUAAUUGGUGUCUUAGACUCGAGGUUCGCAACCCAGAGAGCAGAGCAAUGGACUGAAACAACCAAUUGCCAAAUUCUUUGAACAAGAUGUGCGCACAUGGGGAAUGUGGGUUGAGAAUUGAGAUCACCAGUUACUUGUGCCUUUGGGGUAUUAGAUCAUGGUGGGUGUUAUGUCUUGGUCAUUUUUAUCAUCUUAAUUGCAGUUAGAUUGGUAAAUUUUGCUCACGUCUUAACAUUUGACCUUUUAUUUUAGAGUUAACAUCAGUGGUCUGAGCUUGCCUUGUAGAAGUUAUUCACAAGUCAUCAAGUUACAUUAGUUCAGGCUUAGAAGAUGUACUACUUGACUUGUAUUCGACCUAUUGCAGUUCUCAUCGAUAGACCCUUCCAUCUG